This 1155-nucleotide ribosomal RNA is filed under the name Triticum aestivum (bread wheat). Its description in RNAcentral is "partial small subunit ribosomal RNA". Lineage: Eukaryota; Viridiplantae; Streptophyta; Magnoliopsida; Poales; Poaceae. The record is from RNAcentral.
AUGGUGGCCAAGGCGAAGAUGAGCGCCAUGGAGUUGGAGAUGGAGAAGGCAACGAGAGACGGGGAGCUAGUGCUCGGCGGCGCCGGAGACGAGGAGGAGGAGGAGGACGUGGUGCUGCCGGGGUACCGGUUCCACCCCACCGACGAGGAGCUGGUCGCCUUCUACCUCCGCCGGAAGAUGGCCAGGAAGUCGCUCCGCAUCGAGGUCAUCCGGGAGAUGGACAUCUACAAGCACGACCCGUGGGAUCUCCCCAGUAAGCUCCAUCUCUCCAUGCACCAUUCAUCGUGCAAUUUCUUUUCUGGGACAAAGACUUUCUAUCUGACAGAGUGCAAUCGUCCACUUGCAAAUUACGCAGAGGCGAGCACGGUUGGUGGGGAGAAAGAGUGGUACUUCUUCUGCCUCAGGGGGAGGAAGUACCGGAACAGCAUCCGGCCCAACCGGGUCACCGGCUCCGGCUUCUGGAAGGCCACCGGCAUCGACCGGCCGAUCUACUCCGCCGGCAGCGGCGGCGCCAGUUCCGGCGUGUCCAUCGGGCUGAAGAAGUCGCUCGUCUACUACCGCGGCAGCGCCGGCAAGGGCACCAAGACUGACUGGAUGAUGCACGAGUUCCGCCUCCCGCCGGCCGCCGCCAACGCCUCCCCGAGCAUGCAGGAAGCGGAGGUGUGGACCAUCUGCAGGAUCUUCAGGAGGGCCAUCACCUACCGGAACCAGCAGCAGCCGUGGAGGCCGGCGCCCGCGCCGUCCUUCGCCGAUUCGAACUCCAACACGGGGAGCUUCGAGUCGUCCGAGGCCGGCGACGAAUACAUGAACUGCCUGCAGGCUCCGGCACCCGCCGCUCCAUGCAUCCCCCACCCCCAGCACCAGCAGCAGUACGUCAGUCGGACGGGCACGGUGGACAGCGGCAACUUCUUCUACGAGGACAACAUGCACAACCAGCAGUUCCAGGGGCAAUGGAACGCCGCACCCGCCGCCCCGGUGCCGGAGCAGAAACAGCAGAAUCCAUUGUCCACGGCCGUCGACUUCCACCAGAAUGACAAUAGCCACGCUGUCGCCGCGAACGAUUUUUACAAGGUUGAGGGGUACUUGGGGGAGAUCGCGAGGAUGUUGGAGGUCGCCGAUCCGGCAGGAUUUUACGACUACAGAUCAUACGGUUGA